RNAcentral lists this ribosomal RNA (253 nucleotides) under uncultured bacterium. RNAcentral describes it as "partial 16S ribosomal RNA". It matches the Rfam family "Bacterial small subunit ribosomal RNA", at positions 524 to 776 of the family's 1533-position model. The record is from RNAcentral.
UACGAAGGGGGCUAGCGUUGUUCGGAAUUACUGGGCGUAAAGGGUUCGUAGGUGGCCAACUAAGUCAGACGUGAAAUCCCUCAGCUCAACUGGGGAACUGCGUCUGAUACUGGUCGGCUUGAGUGCAGGAGAGGAACGCGGAAUUCCAGGUGUAGCGGUGAAAUGCGUAGAUAUCUGGAGGAACACCGGUGGCGAAGGCGGCGUUCUGGACUGCAACUGACACUGAGGAACGAAAGCCAGGGGAGCAAACGGG